ACGGAGGGAGCUAGCGUUGUUCGGAAUUACUGGGCGUAAAGCGCACGUAGGCGGCUUUGUAAGUUAGAGGUGAAAGCCCGGGGCUCAACUCCGGAACUGCCUUUAAGACUGCAUCGCUUGAACAUCGGAGAGGUAAGUGGAAUUCCGAGUGUAGAGGUGAAAUUCGUAGAUAUUCGGAAGAACACCAGUGGCGAAGGCGACUCACUGGACACGUAUUGACGCUGAGGUGCGAAAGCGUGGGGAGCAAACAGGA
This 253-nucleotide ribosomal RNA is filed under the name uncultured prokaryote. RNAcentral describes it as "partial 16S ribosomal RNA". It matches the Rfam family "Bacterial small subunit ribosomal RNA", at positions 525 to 777 of the family's 1533-position model. The record is from RNAcentral.